UAAGGAGCUUGCUCCUUUGACGUUAGCGGCGGACGGGUGAGUAACACGUGGGUAACCUACCUAUAAGACUGGGAUAACUUCGGGAAACCGGAGCUAAUACCGGAUAACAUUUGGAACCGCAUGGUUCUAAAGUGAAAGAUGGUUUUGCUAUCACUUAUAGAUGGACCCGCGCCGUAUUAGCUAGUUGGUAAGGUAACGGCUUACCAAGGCGACGAUACGUAGCCGACCUGAGAGGGUGAUCGGCCACACUGGAACUGAGACACGGUCCAGACUCCUACGGGAGGCAGCAGUAGGGAAUCUUCCGCAAUGGGCGAAAGCCUGACGGAGCAACGCCGCGUGAGUGAUGAAGGGUUUCGGCUCGUAAAACUCUGUUAUUAGGGAAGAACAAAUGUGUAAGUAACUGUGCACGUCUUGACGGUACCUAAUCAGAAAGCCACGGCUAACUACGUGCCAGCAGCCGCGGUAAUACGUAGGUGGCAAGCGUUAUCCGGAAUUAUUGGGCGUAAAGCGCGCGUAGGCGGUUUCUUAAGUCUGAUGUGAAAGCCCACGGCUCAACCGUGGAGGGUCAUUGGAAACUGGGAAACUUGAGUGCAGAAGAGGAAAGUGGAAUUCCAUGUGUAGCGGUGAAAUGCGCAGAGAUAUGGAGGAACACCAGUGGCGAAGGCGACUUUCUGGUCUGUAACUGACGCUGAUGUGCGAAAGCGUGGGGAUCAAACAGGAUUAGAUACCCUGGUAGUCCACGCCGUAAACGAUGAGUGCUAAGUGUU
RNAcentral lists this ribosomal RNA (767 nucleotides) under Staphylococcus saprophyticus. Its description in RNAcentral is "bacterial SSU rRNA". It matches the Rfam family "Bacterial small subunit ribosomal RNA", at positions 72 to 824 of the family's 1533-position model. The record is from RNAcentral. Lineage: Bacteria; Bacillati; Bacillota; Bacilli; Caryophanales; Staphylococcaceae.